CACUGUCCCUUUAAGGAGCACAGGCGCACUGUCCCUUUAAGGAGCACAGGCGCACUGUCCCUUUAAGGAGCACAGGCGCACUGUCCCUUUAAGGAGCACAGGCGCACUGUCCCUUUAAGGAGCACAGGCGCACUGUCCCUUUAAGGAGCACAGGCGCACUGUCCCUUUAAGGAGCACAGGCGCACUGUCCCUUUAAGGAGCACAGGCGUACUGUCCCUUUAAGGAGCACAGGCG
Long non-coding RNA from Dicentrarchus labrax (European seabass), 234 nucleotides. RefSeq lists it as uncharacterized. The transcript has 3 exons. Lineage: Eukaryota; Metazoa; Chordata; Actinopteri; Moronidae. The record is from RefSeq and is a predicted model, not a curated record.